UCUUGUAAAAGAUUUCGGGCCACUAGACACGAGGUUUGGGCUUGUGGGCCUUGGACCCAAGCCUAAGCCCACUUAAAACAGCAUUUAACCUAACUAUAAAUAACUUAGUAACCCUAACCCUUGUCAUUUUGUUCGGCCGCUACCUAUCAAAUUCCCUGAUAUUGUGAGUCUACAACCUUAUCUUCAAGAAACACUAAACACAGACAAAACAUCAUCAUCUUCACUCUCCUUCAAAACCUCAGAACUACAACAUCAGCUACACACCUCUCAACCCCACUCUCUCCACCCUCAAUGGCCGACCACCACCACCGUCUGGUGGUGGUGCUACGAUGAAAUGAGAAGACAGAACGGGAGAGAGAGAGCAACGACUAAUGUCCGUCGGUGGAUCGAGUUUUCUGGCGACAAAUCCGCCGUCGGUGGCGGACCCGCGGCGGCGACGAUGGUGUUUUUGGUCCGACGGGUUUCAUGGUUCGAUUGAAGGUUGACGGUAGCCGUGGUGGUUAUCGACGGUGUAGAUGAUGAACGAUGAUGAUGGGGUAGCCGCUGAUGAGGAUGGCACGGAGGUGAGGCUCCGGUGGGUUUCACGGCAGCCGUCUCCACCCGACAGAAACUCCGGUUUCGGGUUUAGUUGGUUCAAGAUCGGUUCGGUCAACAAAAAUCAACUUGUGGUUUGGCUCAUAUUACGGUUCGGAUCAGUUUCGGGUGGUUCGGGUUCGCGACACGUCAGUCAACGAAAGUCAACUGGUCGAACCCGAGUCAACUCGAGUCAACACAGUUAAAGCGGGUUAACUCAGUGCUCGGUUCACACGGUUCGCAUUGGUCUCCGGACAGAUUUGUUCGGGUUCAGAUUUAAGCAUCGAGCAUCGGUCAACCUCAGUCAACACGGUCACUAGUCAACACGGGUCAGACCCGGUCAACACAGUCAAAACCCGGUCAACUCAGGACCCGGUAACGUUCAGUACGUUAAUUAGAUUUUAUAUAGUUAAACGCGAAACCGAGCUCAACCGAUACCGUUGGUGAUUAUCUACGUUUUAUUUUGUCGAAAAGUUAUUAUAUAUUGAUUUAAUCGAUUGAAUUAUUGUGAGUUUUGAAAAGAAAAUACGACGACUUUUAUUGUCGGGUUAUUCCAAAAACAAAGGAAGCUCUGUCCGUUUUUCAUAAAA
Molecule: long non-coding RNA, 1163 nt
Organism: Helianthus annuus (common sunflower)
Lineage: Eukaryota; Viridiplantae; Streptophyta; Magnoliopsida; Asterales; Asteraceae
Exons: 3
Source: RefSeq, a predicted model, not a curated record